UAUAUAUAUAUAUAUAUAUAUUGGAAAUUUUUGGAGUUGGCGAUGCAAAGCUGGACCCUAGGAAUGAAGACUUGUAACUGGUCGAAGUCUUACAAAAAAUUAAUAUAUCGUGAGCCCCAAGAGUGCAAGAGAGCGGAUUUCAAUGUAUAAUAAUGAUCCUUAAUGAUUUUUCCCUUGUUCUCUCUCUUUUCCCGCGGAAACAGGUGCAUAACACAUACGCAAUACUAGUUAAUUUUCAUUAGAAGCUUUCUUAACAGGUUAAUCCUUUACAAGCUAAAGCCAGGGCUCUUUCAGCCACACUAUGAAGAUGCUAUGACGAAACAUUAAUCCACUGAUGCAGUUAUUUUAAUUGAAGUUUAUUUCUCUAUCGUGUUUAGUUCUGUUUCAUGUGUUAGUCAAAAUAUCUAAGUCAUUAAGCAUAGUGUUUAAUUCUGUUUGGAGUCUUUUAAGUAUCAGUUGAAAAUAUCUAGUAUGGUGCUAACGAGUUUUUCUUGAAGAAAUAGUUAGUCAAAAAUAUCUGAUGUGGUAUUACCGAGUCUUCUUUGGAAAUAAGAGUCAAUCAAAGUCUUUAAUCUUUCAAAUUUGAGUCAUUUAACAAGUCUUCUGUCAAAAGUUAAGUUUNNN
This 624-nucleotide long non-coding RNA is filed under the name Phoenix dactylifera (date palm). RNAcentral describes it as "long non-coding RNA (PDAC_LNC000539)". Lineage: Eukaryota; Viridiplantae; Streptophyta; Magnoliopsida; Arecales; Arecaceae. The record is from RNAcentral.